UAUCUUUAUUUAUGUUCCGUUCAAUUCUUCUUUAAUUAAAGUUUGAUUCUUUCUUUUAGGUUUGGAUUUUGAAUUAUUUUAUAUGUAAGAUUUUACUUUUUUAAUCUAAAUGAUUAUUUUGUAAUCAGUAUUUAAUUUUGGUUUUUAUUGAAAGAUAAAAUCAGGAUUUUAAUUAUUUAACUGACAAAAAUUGUGCCAGCCGUCGCGGUUAUACAAUUAGUUAAAUUAAACUUUUUUGAUUAUAUAUUAAUUUUGUUUUUUAUAAUUUUAAUUUUGAUUUUUAGGUGAAAUUUUAAUUAUAUAUAUAUUAUAGGUUGAUGAUUUUAUAUAUGAAGAUUUUUUUAUAAACUAGGAUUAGAUACCCUAUUAUUUUAAUUGUAAAUUUUUUUAAUAUUAAUAGUUAUGUUCUUUAAAUUAAAAGAAUUUGGCGGUUAUUUAAUCUUUCUAGAGGAACCUGUCCUGUAAUUGAUAAUCCACGAUUGAUUUUACUUUAAUUAUAUUUAUAUAUCGCUGUCAUUGAAUGUUUUAAAAGAUUAUUUUCUUGAAUUUUUAUGAAGUUAAUGUUAGGUGAAGAUGUAGUUAUAUUAAAGAAGAGAUGGGUUACAUUUAGUUUAUUAAUGGGGAGGAAUUUGGAAUUGUUUUCUUUAAAAUUGGAUUUAGGUGUAAUUUUUAUAAAAUAAUAAUUUUGAUUUUAGUUCUAAAUAAUGUACACAUCGCCCGUCACUCUCAUUUUUAAGUUGGGAUAAGUCGUAACAAAGUAGGCCUACCGGAAGGUAGGCCUGGUUAGU
Molecule: non-coding RNA, 788 nt
Filed under: Gigantometra gigas
Lineage: Eukaryota; Metazoa; Arthropoda; Insecta; Hemiptera; Gerridae
Source: RNAcentral